CCCUGCCCUUUGUACACACCGCCCGUCGCUCCUACCGAUUUCGAGUGGUCCGGUGAACCUUCUGGACUGGGACACCUAGUGUUCCGGGAAGUUAAGUAAACCUUAUCACUUAGAGGAAGGAGAAGUCGUAACAAGGUUUCCGUAGGUGAA
Molecule: ribosomal RNA, 150 nt
Filed under: uncultured eukaryote
Lineage: Eukaryota
Description: partial small subunit ribosomal RNA
Rfam family: Eukaryotic small subunit ribosomal RNA
Source: RNAcentral